Molecule: ribosomal RNA, 369 nt
Filed under: Crangonyx floridanus
Lineage: Eukaryota; Metazoa; Arthropoda; Malacostraca; Amphipoda; Crangonyctidae
Description: bacterial SSU rRNA
Rfam family: Eukaryotic small subunit ribosomal RNA
Source: RNAcentral
GUGCCAGCAGCCGCGGUAAUUCCAGCUUCAGCAGCAUCUAUUAAAGUUGCUGCGGUUAAAAGGCUCGCAGUUGAAUGUCAGUGCCGGGCGCAGGUUAGGUGGACGCUGGGGUGUGAGAACCAACACGGCACGGACUUCGUCUGGUUGCUUGUCAGCUUGCUGGCCUUCCGGGCGUCGCACCGACCGUGUCUCACAAACUCCCGUCCGUGACAAGCCUCCUCGCCCGCGUACAUAUCGGAAUUGGUUUCGGAGGCGUGCGACCGGCGGCUUCGCUCGCGUCUGUGCUGGCUCACGCUGGCCUGACCUGGGAGUUGCUUAGCCACGUGCGUUCUCUUUGUGGUUUCAGAGUCACCUUGAGUAAAUCAGAGU